ACAGCUUUAGCCCUGUAGCCAAGUUGGUCACUGUUCGACUUUUCCUUGCGAUAGCCACUUCUUUUGGUUGGCCCAUUCAUCAAAUAGACGUUAACAAUGCCUAUCUCCAUGGAACCAUUGAAGAGGAGCUCUACAUGUUACCCCUACCCGGCUAUACAAAGGCUACACCAGGACAAGUGUGCAAGCUUAAGAAGUCCUUAUACGGGCUAAAGCAAGCUGCCCGUCAGUGGAAUAAGGAAUUUGCAUGCAAACUAAUCUAGUUUGGUUUCACUCAAUGCUCUCACGACCAUUGCCUGUUCACGCGAGGUACUGG
This 313-nucleotide unclassified non-coding RNA is filed under the name Hevea brasiliensis (rubber tree). The record is from RNAcentral. Lineage: Eukaryota; Viridiplantae; Streptophyta; Magnoliopsida; Malpighiales; Euphorbiaceae.